This 243-nucleotide ribosomal RNA is filed under the name Brachionus plicatilis. Its description in RNAcentral is "partial large subunit ribosomal RNA". Lineage: Eukaryota; Metazoa; Rotifera; Eurotatoria; Ploima; Brachionidae. The record is from RNAcentral.
AAUGAAAUGAAGAGAAUCUAUUGUUUCCAUAUAAAGUGAACUUAAAUUGUUAGUGAAAAUUCUGACAAGCGUUUAAAAGACGAGAAGACCCCAUAAAACUUAAUUUGAUCUCUUUUUCAAGGGUUUAAAAUUUAAAUGGGGACUUUAGAGUAUAAUAAUAACUCAAAGACCUAUUUCUAUAAUAUUAGCGAAGCUACUUUGGGGAUAACAGGGUAAAGUAUUUAGAGAGUUCAUAUCGAUAAA